Molecule: unclassified non-coding RNA, 302 nt
Filed under: uncultured fungus
Lineage: Eukaryota; Fungi
Description: partial contains 5.8S ribosomal RNA, internal transcribed spacer 2, and large subunit ribosomal RNA
Rfam family: 5.8S ribosomal RNA (bases 1-52)
Source: RNAcentral
AACGCACCUUGCGCUCCUUGGUAUUCCGAGGAGCAUGCCUGUUUGAGUGUCUUGAAGUCAUCAACCCCUCGUGCUUUGCGGGAGUGGGUUGGAGCUUGAGGGCCUUGCUGCCGAAGGGCGGCUCCCUCCAAAUGCUUCGGUUGGGCCUGUGGGUCGAACUCGACUGGGCGUUGUACCAUCCUCGCUCGACCGAGACGUUCCCCUUCUGCGCCCCGCCACGACCGCCAGUGGAGCGGCGGUCAACUGGCAAAGCCUUUUUGAAAUCUGACCUCAAAUCAGGUAGGACUACCCGCUGAACUUAA